This 466-nucleotide non-coding RNA is filed under the name Pongo abelii (Sumatran orangutan). The record is from RNAcentral. Lineage: Eukaryota; Metazoa; Chordata; Mammalia; Primates; Hominidae.
GAGAGGGAGGUGGCUCGGCUGGAGCGCGCCGUCCGCCCGACCCCCGCCGCCUCUCGGGCGCCUGCGCUCACGCUGCGGGGCCCAGCGCAUUGUGAGCCGGGUAGGGCUCCAAGCUGGCAGCGUCUGAGAGCUGUCCUGGGCCGGAGGUGGCGCGACCCCUGUGCGGCCUAGAGUGGGCCUGGGGAUUGGUGGAGUCAGUCCUAAGCAGGACCCGCGUUGGAGAGGGGAUUACUGAUGUUACAAGCGCACAUUACUUCAAUCCCCUAGAUGCCUCAGCACUAAUGAUCGUGAUCAGAGACCCCGAGUUCUUUCUACGCUUCGCAACACAUAGCACAAAUGGAAUAUGUGUUGACACACCCCUCUGAAGCUAAGAUCUUUGAUAUUAAGACCCUGACUUUUUUCCCUUUCAUUCUUCCGAACCCUCUGUGUACUUUGAGCAGCACUGUGGUUGAUUAAUAAAUCAUCA